ACGGAAGGCAGCAGUGGGGAAUAUUGGGCAAUGGGCGCAAGCCUGACCCAGCAACGCCGCGUGAAGGAAGAAGGCUUUCGGGUUGUAAACUUCUUUUGUCAGGGACGAGUAGAAGACGGUACCUGAUGAAUAAGCCACGGCUAACUACGUGCCAGCAGCCGCGGUAAUACGUAGGUGGCAAGCGUUGUCCGGAUUUACUGGGUGUAAAGGGCGUGUAGCCGGGUCGGCAAGUCAGAUGUGAAAUCUAUGGGCUCAACCCAUAAACUGCAUUUGAAACUGUUCUUCUUGAGUGCUGGAGGGGCAAUCGGAAUUCCUUGUGUAGCGGUGAAAUGCGUAGAUAUAAGGAGGAACACCAGUGGCGAAGGCGGAUUGCUGGACAGUAACUGACGGUGAGGCGCGAAAGUGUGGGGAGCAAACAGGAUUAGAUACCCUGGUA
Molecule: ribosomal RNA, 436 nt
Filed under: uncultured Oscillibacter sp.
Lineage: Bacteria; Bacillati; Bacillota; Clostridia; Eubacteriales; Oscillospiraceae
Description: partial 16S ribosomal RNA
Rfam family: Bacterial small subunit ribosomal RNA
Source: RNAcentral